AAAAAGACCUUAGCCUUGAUAGAUCAGUCAGUCUCUCCAGACCCCAAGGUGACUUCACUUGAAUCAGCUUAGAUACUUGAUGUGGCAGAACAUAUUAGAAUCGUCAGACACAAUGGCAACCAUAAAACCGACCUCUUUCAUGAUUGCCGAUAUUCUCAACCUUCAAGAAGCGAACUCAUCCAUUAAAACAUGCGCAGAGGAGGCAUCAAACAGUGUACAGGAAUCAACACAAAACGACAAGGCGAUAGGUGAGUAUUUGAAAUGUUCCACAGGUAUACCAUACGCUAAGACCCGGGACUCCCAGCCAAAGACAUGCUUAGAGACGAUUUAUCAGAGCGACGUUACCAUACGGUCAGAGAGGUCUUCGGAUUUUCCAACACGCACAUGCGUAGAGGAGUCAUCAAGUAUUGUACAGGAAUCAACACAAAACGACGAAGAAAAAGGUGAGUAUUUGACAGGUUCCACAGGUAUCCCAUAUGCUAAGACCCGGAACUCCCAACCAAGAAAGCGCCCGGUAUUCCAUCCAGACGUGGUCGCUCGGCUUGAGCAGUUCUUCGCAAAACGACGAUACAUCAAUGCAGAGCAGCGGUACGCACUCGCCAAGGAAAUCAACAUGACAGAGGAGCAAAUCAAGAGCUGGUUCCACAACAAACGUACAGCCAUGAAGAGAAAACUCGUCGACGCUGGACGACGCACUGCUAAGCUCGCCUACCUACAAACCCUCGCCCGCAAGCUGUUACCAGCGAAUUCCCCGCAAGAUGCCAUGCCUAAAGAUCGUCUCCGUAGCAACGACAUCACGGCAGCUCGCCCAAGAAAGGUUUCAAAGCUCCGUUCAUUUCCAGACAGCGUCACUUCGGCACAUUUGAGAAAAGCAUCCCAGUCUCAUCGUACCUAUGGCAACUACGUGCAAAUUCCUACGCAGAUCUACGAAAGGCCCGUCCUUUCUAGAGUUCCAUGUUCUUACCUGCCGCCCUCAUAUUGCUUCACAAGAUAAAGGUGGUCUAAGGAUGCGUAAGUAAAGUGUUGUGUUGUGUAUUGACAGGGGCGAAGGAGCUGACUUAAAACUUGGUGGGGUCUCGAGACAAAAUUCAGAGUCCAGGGUUAGGGGUGGAGAGAGGGUUUAUCUGUAACCGAGUUUUUUCCGAGUGAGGACGAAUCGUGAAAAAAAAAUAUUGCUUAUUUGAAAGAUCAGAAAAUAUAUAUAACUUUUAGUCAUUGAAUGGAUACAUUCAAAAACUUGCAUUAUGUAUGGCUGGCACCGGCCUGAGUCGUUUUAUUCUUUUAACGACAAAAACGAAAACUUAAGAGUAAAUUGUUCAAAUCGCUUAUGAUUCACAUAGAGAGUAAACAAUAACUGUAACCGCCUCACUUCAAUCAAGCACCGCACAUUGUUGCGCGCAACAAAAUCGCCGCAAUCAGCUCGCUUGUGCUUUUAUGUCGCUUAGCCUUUGUGGAACCUUGCGCAAGUGUCGGCCCUCUGUUUGAGCCUGCGCAUCAGGUAUAAAAAGACCUUAGCCUUGAUAGAUCAGUCAAGUCUCUCCAGACCCAAAGGUGACUUCACUUGAAUCAGUUUAGAUACUCGACGUGGCAGAACAUAUUAGAAUCGUCAGACACAAUGGCAACCAGAAAACCGACCUCUUUCAUGAUUGCCGAUAUUCUCAACCUUCAAGAAGCGAACUCAUCCAUUAAUACAUGCGCAGUAGAGGCAUGAAGCAGUGCGCAGGAAUCACCAUAAAACGACGAGGCGAUAGGUGAGUAUUUGACAUGUUCCACAGGUAUCCCAUACGCUAAGACCCGGGACUCCCAGCCAAAGACAUUCGCCGAGACGAUAUAUUAGAGCGCGUUACCAUACGGUCAGAGAGGUCUUCGAAUUUUCCAACACGCAGAGGAGUCAUCAAGCAGUGUACAGGAAUCAACACAAAACGACGAAGAAAAAGGUGAGUAUUUGACAGGUUCCACAGGUAUCCCAUACGCUAAAAUCCGGAACUCCCAACCAAGAAAGCGCCCGGUAUUCCAUCCAGACGUGGUCGCUCGGCUUGAGCAGUUCUUCGCAAAACGACGAUACAUCAAUGCAGAGCAGCGGUACGAACUCGCCAAGGAAAUCAACAUGACAGAGGAGCAAAUCAAGAGCUGGUUACACAACAAACGCACAGCCAUGAAGAGAAAACUCGUCGACGCUGGACAACGCACUGCUAUGCUCGCCUACAUACAAACCCUCGCCCGCAAGCUGUUGCCAGCGGAUUCCCCGCAAGAUGCCAUGCCUGAAGAUCGUCUGCGUAGCAGCGACAUCAUGGCAGCUCGCCCAAGAAAGGUUUCGAAGCUCCGUUCAUUUCCAGACAGCGUCACUUCGGCACAUUUGAGUGCACAUUUGAGUGCAAAUUCCUCCGCAGAUCUACGAGUGGCCCGUCUUUCCUAGAGUUCCAUUUUCUUACCUGCCGCCCUCAUAUUGCUUCACAAGAUAAAGGUGGUCUAUAGAUGCGUGAGUAAAGUGUUGUGUUUGUGUAUCGACAGGGGCGAAGGACAUAAAACUGGGUGGGGUCUCGAGACAAAAUUCAAAGUCCAGGGUUAGGGGUGGGAGAGGGUUUAUCUGUAACCAAGAUUUUUGGGAGUGAGGAGGAAUCGUGAAAAUAUUGCUUAUUUGAAAGUUCAGAAAACAUGCAAAACUUUGAUUCAUUGUAUGCUUGGAGUCUAAAACUUGCGCUACGUAUGGGUGGCACCGGCGUUGUGUCUUCUCCUCCGUCAGCAGCAUGGUAUCGUAUCAAAAUAAAGAUUAGUGUGAUGCUGUUAUGCAAUUCUGCAAUUAUGGAUUCCAGAGGUUUCUCAAAUCGCCGAACAUAACCGUAAGGGCUACGGACGGCCGAACACCCGGAGGGGCUACGAGCUGCCGAACUACCGAAGGGGAUAAGAACGACCGAACACCCGAAGGCGCUACGAACGGCCGAACUACCGAAGGGGAUACGAACGACCGAACACUCGAAGGCGCUACGAACGGCCGAACUACCGAAGGCGCUACGAACUAACGAACACCCGAAGGCGCUACGAACUAACGAACACCCGAGGGCGCUACGAACGGCCGAACUACCGAAGGCGCUACGAACGCCGACUGGCAACAUAUCAAACAUAUUCCCCACGGAUAGUGUCCUUCGUUCGCUGUGCCUUAUAUGGUCAUAUAUGCCCAUAUUUAGAAGUACUGGAGUUUCCCCUUUCGCGCUUCUCCAACAAACAUGGCGGCAAACACUGAUUCCCUAAAGACUCGUAGUGGAAGAAUUAUAAAGAAACCGGAUCGCUUGGUCAAAUAUUUAGACCAUUCCUCAGUUGAUACGUACGU
RNA transcript from Nematostella vectensis (starlet sea anemone), 3328 nucleotides. It is a transcript of the gene named barH-like 2 homeobox protein, with no coding region annotated. The record is from RefSeq and is a predicted model, not a curated record. The transcript has 2 exons. NCBI's taxonomy places the organism in Eukaryota, Metazoa, Cnidaria, Anthozoa, Actiniaria, Edwardsiidae.